Small nucleolar RNA from Oryza sativa Japonica Group (Japanese rice), 96 nucleotides. It matches the Rfam family "Small nucleolar RNA R30/Z108". From Rfam's summary of the family: snoR30 is a C/D box small nucleolar RNA which acts as a methylation guide for 18S ribosomal RNA in plants. Lineage: Eukaryota; Viridiplantae; Streptophyta; Magnoliopsida; Poales; Poaceae. The record is from Rfam.
GGCUGUUGCGAUGAGGAUAUUAUGCUCCCUCUUCUGAAGGCAUUGAGGACGCUCGCUGGCAGAAUCGAACCAAUUAUUAAAGCCACCACUGAGUAA